Molecule: ribosomal RNA, 253 nt
Filed under: uncultured bacterium
Lineage: Bacteria
Description: partial 16S ribosomal RNA
Rfam family: Bacterial small subunit ribosomal RNA
Source: RNAcentral
UACAGAGGUGGCAAGCGUUGUUCGGAAUUACUGGGCGUAAAGGGCGCGUAGGCGGCCUUCUAAGUCAGACGUGAAAUCCCCCGGCUUAACCUGGGAACUGCGUCUGAUACUGGGAGGCUUGAGUAUGGGAGAGGGAUGUAGAAUUCCAGGUGUAGCGGUGAAAUGCGUAGAUAUCAGGAAGAACACCCGUGGCGAAGGCGGCUCUCUGGGACGGUACUGACGCUGAGACGCGAAAGCGUGGGGAGCGAACAGG